This 77-nucleotide transfer RNA is filed under the name Candidatus Peregrinibacteria bacterium. Its description in RNAcentral is "tRNA-Arg". It matches the Rfam family "tRNA". Rfam says of the family: Transfer RNA (tRNA) molecules are approximately 80 nucleotides in length. Their secondary structure includes four short double-helical elements and three loops (D, anti-codon, and T loops). Lineage: Bacteria; Candidatus Peregrinibacteriota. The record is from RNAcentral.
GCCCCCGUAGCUCAACUGGAUAGAGUGUCGGUCUUCGGAACCGAAGGUUGCAGGUUCGAACCCUGCCGGGGGUACCA